This 312-nucleotide unclassified non-coding RNA is filed under the name Septobasidium michelianum. Its description in RNAcentral is "partial contains 5.8S ribosomal RNA, internal transcribed spacer 2, and large subunit ribosomal RNA". Lineage: Eukaryota; Fungi; Basidiomycota; Pucciniomycetes; Septobasidiales; Septobasidiaceae. The record is from RNAcentral.
CGCACCUUGCACCCUUUGGCAUUCCGAAGGGUACAUCUGUUUGAGUGUCAUGAAUCCCUCAACCUCUACAUUUUCUUGUAAAGUGUGCGAGCGUUGGAUGAUGAGCGUUGCUGUGCAUUCCACAGCUCGCUUCAAAUGUAUAAGCAAUCUUGGUACAUCUCCGGAUUGACUCGACGUGAUAAGAUCUUCGUCGGGGAUGCUUCUUCAGCAGCCGGUCGGUAUUACAAGUCGCUACUAAAACCUGUUCGCCCUUGUGCGACGCACCCUUAUAAUUUAGACCUCAAAUCAGAUGGGACUACCCGCUGAACUUAA